This 1269-nucleotide unclassified non-coding RNA is filed under the name Hevea brasiliensis (rubber tree). Lineage: Eukaryota; Viridiplantae; Streptophyta; Magnoliopsida; Malpighiales; Euphorbiaceae. The record is from RNAcentral.
CAAAAAAUAGGUACAGAUUUCUUGCAAAUAUUCAUUUGUAGUUGGAAAUUUCACUUGCCUAUUCUGCUUCUCUUUACAGCCUAAGACAUAGCAAGGAAAAAGUUGAUUUCUGAGAAUUAAUAGAAAGAGCAUCCAUUUUUCGAUAAUAAUGAAAUGUUUGAAACUGAUUCAUUUGGGACAUCCUAAGUUGGUGGAUCAAAGCACUACCUAGUACAGGUUAUAUAACAAAAGAUUUUUACGAGUCAUCUUCAGACGGAUGGAUAUUGUGUUUUCUAGAUGUUAACUAAACAUAAGAGCUAGAUUUUCACUACCUUUACCUCAUAGAUUGUAUUUCCAUGGAAUGAUGUUUAGACAUCUUGUUUGGUAACAAAUGGACAUGUUUAAUGUGGGCCUGUUUGUUUUUACUGUUGGAGUGCCAAGCAUGCACGUGGCGCUCCAUCACUGACACCAAAGAGCUUCUUUGCAUAUGGUGGUGCAUUAAAAUUGAUUAGUUGUUCAUAGUCACAGUUAUCCUUAAGUAUCAAGUUUUGAAAGAAAUAUUAUUACUUGUAAAUGUGAUAUGUAAUUUCUGAAAUCAAUGUAGUUCAUUGGAAAAAUAAUCUUUGGAAAGCUAGACACAACUGACAGUCUGGCAGACUUUAUAGUGAUGUAGCUAGCAUUACCAUAGUGUAGUCUACUUGUUUCACUUAUGAGUUGAUGAGUCUAUGCAAAUUGUGCUGUCAAUGAUAUUUCUUCUGUUUAGUAUCAAGUUGGUUGCAACUUGGAAUUAGGUCUUUUUCCUGGCCUCUUCAUGAGCUUAUUGCAAGUCUUUUACACAAACAGACAAUAGGACUCCUAUUGAAUAGAACAGUUAUUAUGUUUCUGUUUUGAAUUUUGACCAACAUUAUGGUUUUAAACAAAUCCUUUAAAUGUGUGUUAUAAUGCAGUCACAAGCAUUUUGGGAUUAAGGCUCAAUUGUUCUUGUUAUUGUUGUUUAUUUAUUUAUAACUACUUAUUGUGUGAGAUUCACUUUCAUAAAGAUGCCCAGUUAUUAUUAUGUCAAACAAAUUAUUUCUGUAAGCUAAGGCAUGGGGUUCAAGAUCCCCCUCAAUACAGAAAGUAUGAGGACUACCUUAAGAUGAUAUUCUCAUUCAUUGUCCUUAACAUGAACAUUAGUGAAAUGUGGGAUUGGCAACAGAAUCUCUAAUUCACCUUUUAAUAUUAUUGCUAGUUCCACUGAAAAUAAUUCUCCCCCCUCGUUUCUCUUUCUCAAGUUUUCAACCUGGAAUG